This 21-nucleotide microRNA is filed under the name Hepatitis B virus. RNAcentral describes it as "miR-3-5p". The record is from RNAcentral. Lineage: Riboviria; Pararnavirae; Artverviricota; Revtraviricetes; Blubervirales; Hepadnaviridae.
CUGGAUGUGUCUGCGGCGUUU